This 266-nucleotide ribosomal RNA is filed under the name uncultured bacterium. Its description in RNAcentral is "partial 16S ribosomal RNA". It matches the Rfam family "Bacterial small subunit ribosomal RNA", at positions 87 to 354 of the family's 1533-position model. The record is from RNAcentral.
CGAUUCGAGUGGCGGACGGGUGAGUAACGCGUGGGUAACCUGCCUUACACAGGGGAUAACACCUGGAAACAGGUGCUAAUACCGCAUAAGCGCACAGGGCCGCAUGGCCCGGUGUGAAAAACUCCGGUGGUGUAAGAUGGACCCGCGUCUGAUUAGCUUGUUGGCGGGGUAGAGGCCCACCAAGGCGACGAUCAGUAGCCGGCCUGAGAGGGUGGACGGCCACAUUGGGACUGAGACACGGCCCAAACUCCUACGGGAGGCAGCAG